RNAcentral lists this transfer RNA (64 nucleotides) under Polyplax spinulosa (spined rat louse). RNAcentral describes it as "tRNA-Gln". The record is from RNAcentral. Lineage: Eukaryota; Metazoa; Arthropoda; Insecta; Psocodea; Polyplacidae.
UGAAGCAAAGUUUAAAACUUUAGCUUUUGAUGCUAACAAAGGCAAUUAAUUUUGCCUGUUUCAA